GGACCCGCACAAGCGGUGGAGCAUGUGGUUUAAUUCGAUGCAACGCGAAAAACCUUACCUACACUUGACAUACUUCGAAUUUUCUAGAGAUAGAUUAGUGCCUUCGGGAACGGAGAUACAGGUGCUGCAUGGCUGUCGUCAGCUCGUGUCGUGAGAUGUUGGGUUAAGUCCUAUAACGAGCGCAACCCUUACCCUUAUUUGCCAGCGGUUAGGCCGGGAACUAUAAGGAACUGCCGGUAAUAAGCCGGAGGAAGGUGGGACGACGUCAAGUCAUCAUGGCCCUUACGUCCUGGGCUACACACGUGCUACAAUGGCCGGUACAGAGAGCAGCCACUUCGCAAGAAGGAGCG
Molecule: ribosomal RNA, 350 nt
Filed under: uncultured bacterium
Lineage: Bacteria
Description: bacterial SSU rRNA
Rfam family: Bacterial small subunit ribosomal RNA
Source: RNAcentral